UUCAAAAACCUUGAAAAUACUCGUGCUUCAAAGAAUUUUUGCUGCUUGGAUUGGAGUAGUGUAGUCUUCUACCUUUUUAAUUAAGGUGCACUGGUCGUGAAAAUGAUUAUGCUUCGAACUCUUUUUCUGCAUGAAGGGCUAGUGGUUGUUCUCUCAUAGGAGAUUUUGGCACUAGUUAAACUUCAAAAAAAAAUAAAAAUGAAGAGGUUAAAAGAAUUCAAAAGAAAAAAAAUUGGAGCCAAACUUUUUCCUAAUAUUAAUGGAGUACAUGACUCAUUUGUUUUGUGUGAUCACCAUUUGGUUAAUGAAUUGUGCACAAAAUUUAAUAAGAUACGGAUCCUCUGCUAUGAUUUUAGUCCCCUUAUAGGAUGGAUCGUACUUUGGAGCACAUGUGGUAGUUCCUACUCACACUCACAAAUACAUAUUGGUUGGUCCAUUAAAAUGCAAAUAUCACCUCUCAUAUCAUUAUGCGAACAUUGGGCACAAGAGUUGUGUUUCCACCGUUGACAAGGGAUUGGAAGAUCUAGCUCGACGGAAAAAUAAGGAAUAAAACUUAUAGAAGCAUGCAUGCCGUCUAUGUAUUGUUGUUAUCAUGGCGAUACUAAUUCGGCAAUUUCUAAUGGGUGAAUUAAAAAAACAUUUUUAAUCUAUAUAUGUAAAGUUAAAUAUCAUUAUGGUUAAAUUUUAAAAUAACUCAUUUAAGAAAAAUUUCAAAACACAGGAAUUAAUUCAUUUUGAAGGGACAGAUACAUUUAUUUAAAAAAUAAUAAUUAAAAGGAGAUAAGAAUCUAUGACCAACAAGAAUUCUAUAUAUAUUACUGUUGAUGCUCAAAAUUAAUGUGAUGAGAAGUUGAAGGAUAUUUAAAGCCCAAUAUACUAUAUAAUGUUGGCAGUCCCGAUCUCUUGGAUCACAUGAGUCCGAGAGAUUGUGGUCACCCACCGUUGGAUAUUAAUCCAAUGGUUCAAAAUGAUAUAUAUAAAUGCAAUAUGACAUAAAUAAUUAUUACCCGAUUUAAGUCAACCGUUGAAUUUAUAUCUAACGGUGAGUGACCAUAACUCUCUUGGACUACAGGGGUCCAAGAGAUCAGGACUGAUAAUGUUGGCUAUGUGUUAAUCCAAGCUAUAUUUUGGGAAGUAAUUCAUUAAAUAAAUAUAGAAAUAUUGUACAAGUCGUGCCAAGCAAGAUACAUUUUCCUAUGCUAAACUACCCGACAAACUUAAAUGGACCUAAGCCACAUAUAUGUAUGGAGAUUGCUGAACGAGUUGUGGUGUGGAUGGUUAUAAUUGUUCAUAAAGCCCGUUGAAGGAUCAGACAAUAAAAGUUUUAGGGCUGCUUGGGAGUACAAAAACUCAUACCCACUUUCCUGAGCCUAAUUACAUGGGUAAGUAGAGACAGAACUUCCAGCCUCUUCCAAAACUCAAACCCACUUUACUGCACACUCAUGGAAAAACCAACUGUUGAGCACUGUACACUCAUGAAUCCUUCUUUGCACAAUCAUUCUAUAGCCUAUAAAUAGACCUUCAUCCCUCCUUGCAAUACACACACCGAAACCAGAAGAAGAACGGCAUGAGGCAAGCUCAUCCUCCCACUGCCGUAAACACAGAAAGCCCAAGCCUUCCUCCAUCACGCUUCUCUUCUUUCAUAACACCACUCCAAGCCCUAAACAUCACACAGAAAACCAUCCCAACUCCCGAAAACACCACAUGCAUCUCACCUUCAACAUAUCUUAUUCCAAUCCAAGCCGCAAAAGCACUCUCUCUUACUAAACUUAUGGAGACUUGUUCUCACACCAUAAGCCUCUCAAGCCAAGCAUCAUAUUGAUUAACUGAAGCAAGCUCCAAUUAAUGCGAAGCGUACAGUAUCGACAUAGUUGCUCUUUACUAGAGACCACUUCCUCUAGCAUCUUCUCCAGCACUAUUAAUUCCACUACUUACAGCACAUAGUUCACUUCAAGAAAAGCACUUCCAACGCAACAAAAUCAAGCAUAAUCAUUCCAGUACCUAUUAAUUGUACAUCAAAACCUGUAAGGAGCCACUGAAUAUAACCAAAUCACUACCCUGUCUUAAACUCUUUCGGGGUGCUUUGGGGCCUGGUGCUGCAAACUCAAAAAGGGUAAAGGAGAUCUCAGUCCACCUCACAUUAGUCCAAUAAGCCCAUUGCAUCUCUCAACAAAAUAGACCCUCAUACAAAUGGCGACUCUGCUAAGGACUAGGCCAUUAUUCUUAGAGCGGCUCCUCAACAAUCACAAACUUUGUGAUUCGUAAGUCACGCCACUGGGGGCUUCAUGCAAAGCAAGUUUUCCGUUGCCUUCUUCAAGUUCUUCCUGCAGCAGGAGAGAUGAAAUCGUUAAUUUUUCUUUGUAUUCAGUAUUUAUUGCUAAAAAAAAAGUUCUUUCGAUCAAUCAAGCUGCUAAAAAAAAGGAGUUAAGCAUCCAGGAGCUGUUGAUUUUAGUUUUCUUCCUGGAACAAUUAGAGAAAAACAAACCAAAUUCUACAACCAUUUGCUGACCGAAGUGGUUUAGGCUUCAUGCCAAGGAAAUUUAGAAAAACAAUAUAAAUAUCAGAGAGAGUGAAUCACUCAAACAGAAACCAAUCCAACAUCAAACAUCCAUCUGCCAACAAUAUUUUAGUCCUCCAUGGUUCUCCUUUUCUUACCAGAUAAAAGAAAAAAAAUGAACGAAAAGCAAAAGAGACAGAAUAUACAAAAACUUAUGUGAAAGCAUCUUCACUUGCUCUGCCCACAGCUCACCAAUCGUGGUCACAAGCACAAGAUAUGAAUUUUGCCACCAAUGCCUCAAGGGUUGAAACGAAAUAACCCCUUGCUAUCACCUUUCUCACAGCGAAAGGAAGAUUUUCUCUGCAAAUUUACACAGAUCGACCACCACCAUCGCUGCAGGACCAGCCAGCUUGCAAUAAACAAUGCAUGAAUCUCCACGUACGGCACCCACUUCAUGCGCCAAUAUUAUAAUGUUAGCCGUGUGUUUUUAUAGUGAGAGUGAGACAGGGCAUGCAACUACUCGCUCAACCCAACUCACCCUGCGCUAGAUUUUUCAUAUCUUUGAAUUAUUUGGUUUUCAGGCACCUAAGGCUUAAAAUAACUUAUAUUCUUUGAAAUUUUUUAUAGGAACUAGUUGUGGCAGAGGUGAUGGGUGGAACGCACCAAGUUAAUUAAAUAAAAAGAAGGCUUAAAUUUCAAAAUGGUCCCUGUAAUUUACUUCAUCGGUCAAUUUAAUUCCCCUAUUAUCAAUUUGGCCAAUUUCGUCCAUGUGUUUAUAUAUAUUAGCAAAACUUCAUCCUUUCCGUCAAAAUUCUGUUAAAACUGAAGAAAAAAAAUAUUUUAAAAUCAAUUUAAAAAACUGCAAUUAAUUAUUAAAUAUUCAAAUUCAAUCUAAAAAUUGAAUUAAUAAAAAAAAAUUGCCUCCCCCAAUUUCACGCUCAGACCUCAACCACCUCCCAACCCCACCUAAACCACCAUUUUUUCUCUCGCACCUUACUCUCCGGCAAAUUGCAAAGAACUUCGUAGCCAGUCAUUGCAGCGCUUGGCUCUGCCAGUUCAUCAUCCUUGUUGUAGCAGAAGUUGGCGACAUUCACACAAACAACAUGCACACUGUAGAUUCUAUAACCCUCUCGAACCCUCGUCGUUGUUUGCACCAAGACCACCGUUGAGCUCGAUUUCUCAACAAGAUUUGCACUCUGCUUCGUCUGGGCGUUGGUUAAUCCGAGAUGAUAGUCUAGGUUGGAGUGGGCUACUAGACCCCCCUUUUCAACCCAAUACAAGAACAUGACUUUUAAUAAUUAAGUUUUUAUUAUUAUUUGAAUUUGAAUAUUUACAUGACCUUUUUUUCUUAAGUUUUAACAGAAUUUUAACAGAAGGGACCACAUUUUCUAAAAUAUACAAAAACAUGGACUCAAUUAGCCAAAUUGAUAACACGAGGACUAAAGUGGUCAAUGAGUUAAAUUUGGAUCUAUAUCUAACUUUUCUAUUUUUUUUAUAUACCAAAACUACCCUCAUCCUUUUCAAGAUAUUCUCAACUCUAAGUACCCUCCUCCUAUCGUUCUCCUUCUUGCCAAUCUCAUCAAAACCCAUCGGAGGAGCUUAUUCCUCCUCCUCAUCCCCACCCCCACAGUAGCCCCAUCCUCAUCCAUGUAGCAGCCCCACCCCCUACCGUGCCAAGGGUAGCAUUCAUAUGUUCAAUCAAUGCUUGAAAUGGUAAAAAUGAACAACAACAAAAUUAACGAUAUAGUUUAUGGUUCUAUUUAAUUCAUUCGCCCUUUCAAACCAGUUGAGUAAAGGCCAUUAGACCCACUAACAGGGCCUAGUCUCGUGGAAAAUAUUGUUAACUUGACAGGACCCGCCCCGAAUUUCCCGAAACCCAAGACGAAUCUUGUGAAAAUUCCGAUAUCACUCCGAUGUCGAACCCAGUCACUAAAACUAAAGCCUCCUUUUCCAAAAGGAAUAAAGGCACGAGACUUUCUGCCGAAAUUUAGGCAGUCUCCCUCGUAAAUUGAACAUUCCCAAAAUUUCAACCUGCAAUAAAACACAAUUUAAAAAGCCAACUACCAGCACACACAAUGUAAUAGCACACAGUUUACAGACAAGGCCUCCAGCCUUCAAAUAAAUCAAGGCAGAACAACUAGUAGUACUCUUAAGUGAAUUAAUAUACUGACAAUGCAACUAAGGAACUCAAAUAAUUUUACAAGUACCACUGCAGUCAACAUGAAAUAACUUCCCAAGUUUUCAAUCUGCAAAGACACAAUAAUACUUCUCACAAAUUUCUAGCAUGCAUCAACUACCAUCUAUGAAUUUUCACCAAUAGUCCCAGGGGCCUCGGCCCAUAAUACCAUAUAAUCAAACCUAAAAACAUGUAUAACGUUUAGUCAACGACUGCACCUAGGCGCUACCCUAGGUUGCCUACGUACCCUUACUGAGGGAUCAAGCCACACGUAGUUCUUUCUACUAAAUCCUAAUUCCAAACACAUACAAUACCUUUAUUCAUCUCUCUGUUAAUCACAUAAUCUCCCCAUAUGCCGAAACAUCCAACGCCAUGUAUGGAGUCUGUCAGCAUGCCGAAAAAUCCUACUCCACGUGUGACCUAACAAUCAUAUCAUCUCCCCAUACGAGGCGUAUGAGGUCUGUCCUCACGUCGGAAAAUCCUACGCCACGUGAGACCUCACAAUCACAUAAUCUCCCCAUACUCUGGAACAUCCAAAGCCACGUAUGGAGUCUGUCGACACGCCGAAAAAUCAUACUCCACGUGCGACCUAACUAUUACAAUAUCUCCCUAUACGUCGAAAAAUCCAACACCACGUAUGAGGUCUGUCCUCACGCCGGAAAAUCCUACAUCACGUGGGACCUAACAAUUACAUAAUCUCCCCAUACGCCGGAACAUCCAAAGCCACGUAUGGGGUCUGUCACAACGCCGGAAAAUCCUACGCCACAUGAGACCUCACAAUCACAAUAUCUCCCCAUACGCCAGAAAAUUCAACGCCACGUAUGGGGUCUGUCAGCACGCUAAAAAAUCCUACGCCACGUGUGACCUAACAACAAUCAUAUCAUCUCUCCAUACGCCGGAACAUCCAAUGCCACGUAUGGGGUCUGUCCUCACGCCGAAAAAUCCUACGCCACGUGGGACCUAACAAUCAUAAAUCUCCCUAUACGCCGGAACAUCCAACGCCACGUAUGAAGUCUGUCUCAACGCCGGAAAAUCCUACUCCACGUGAAACCUAACAAUCACCGGAUGGUACUUACACAGUGUAAUCAUCAUCUUUAUAACUUUAAAAUAUAUAUAUAGAUAAAUUUCCAAUAUUGCCUAAACCUCAACCACAAUAUAGUAUCCGAUAUCCCCCAAUUUAAAACAAUAAAUUAAUAUUCUAUUCCCACAAAAUCAACUUAACUCAAGUAGCGGUUAAGACUCAUCAAUAAGGUCAUUUUAAUCCCUUUAGAAAGGUGAAACUAUCUCGGAAGACUCACGGUCAACCAAGAGUCAAACUACUCAAACUUGCUCAAACGGGCCCACAACCCCCAAAUUUCCGAAAGUUCCUAUGGGCUCUACAAGGAUCAGGAUACACUUCCUGCAAGUUUGGUUCAGAUCGGACGGUCGGAUCGCUCACGAUCGCACGAUCGGACGGUUAUUGUAAAAAUAGCCAUAGGAUUGGCACUUUCGGAGUGUCCGGGACUCCGUUUUACGAUCCGUCGAAUCCUAUACGAUCCUAAAGAUGCCUCGAUUAUCAUAUAUCAAAUUGGAGUUGAUCCAACGGUUUGAACAUGUCAAACCGGAUAACGCCUAUUAUGCGAUAUCCGAUUGACGAUCAAACGAUAACCAAAUUCAAAUCCGAGCAUACCGUCAUGCUCGGGACAACAAGAGGGUUAUUUUGAAACUCUAAGACAGGCCACCACAUGACCCACGCGCCACCCCACGCGCCGGCAGUGCGUAGGUGUCCAAAGAAAUUUCCGGCGGCCGGAAAAACUCCAAACCGCCGGCCAAGACUCCCAGGUUAGGUAAAUCACAUGUAGUGGAGCAACUUUUGUUCUUGAACCUACCUCAAAAAGUAGACGGAAGUGGCCGAAAACUGACAGAAUUUCAAUCGCUUAUUUAACCCCCUAAACACAGAAAUUUCUCAUUUCCCACACAACCAUCAGCUAGAACGUCUCGAGAGGUUGAGAAAGCAUACCUGGAUCGAAGAAAAUGGUGGUCGGAGGAGUCCGAACGAGCUCCGUGAAUUUUGGGUUAAAACCGGUCGGUUUUUGUCAUUUUUCGGUGAGCACAGGUGGUUCCAGCGGCUGAGGCUGGUCGGGAAGGAAAGAGUGAGGUGGCCUGGUUCUUUCGGGACCGGUACCUCCCGAAACGGUGGCCGGAUGCGACGGUGGUGACCCAAAAUCCCGGCUGAUGAAUAGUAACAGGGGGCUGUUUCUUGCGAAGGGAGAGGGAGGAAGCAGAAGAAGAAGAAGAAAAAGAAAAAGAAAAUUUAAAACUGCCCGGUUACUGUAGCACGAAACUGUUUGCUACACUAACAAAUUUUAAAAAUUACCUUUGCAUCCUUUUUGUUUUCAGACUUUUCCUUUUUCGUUACAACUCAAAAUUGGGCGUGCUGCAUGUCUACGAACUCAUGUCGACAAGCUCUACGUAAUGGUACCACUUACUUCUCCAAAAUCUUUUCGAAUCAGAAAAUAACCAAAAAACCCUUAUCCAAAGGGUAUAUUCGUAAAUUCAUAUUUAAAUUAAUUUAAUAAUUUAAUUGGGUAAAUAAAUUAGGGUCGGGGUGUUACAUAACUUGCAAACUAAUAGUUUCAUGUUCGAACUCUCAUGGCACCUUGGUAAUGUGCGUGAGAAAAUCCCCUCCUUAUUCCUAACUUUGGCAACCAAAAAAAAAAAGCGAGUCAUCAGGCCAUCAUAUAAAUUCAUCUCUUGUUGUUCGAUCAACAAAAAAAACUCAUCUUGUUAUUUUUUAUUUCAAAAUUAUUUAAUGAAUGCGUAGAACAAUAUAAUAAUGUAAAUAUAUUGGAUUAUUUAUCAUUAAACAUCAGUAAAAUUUUAAAAAUAUAGACAAUAAAAUGUUAUUAUAUAGUAUGAUGUACUUGCCAUUUUAAGUUUUUUUUUUUACUAGUAAGUAUACAAAACAUAUUUUAUUAUGUACAAGGCAUAUUAGUAAUCAAAUUGAUUUUGAUUCCUAUUACUGAAUACUUACAUAAGAAUGAUAUAAUAAUUAGUGGAAAAAAAAGAGGCCUGGUUUCAAACAAAGUACUAAUUACAUGAGUGGGAAAUAUAACUUCUGUUUACUUAUGUUACUCCAUUAAUAAAAUAAUAUAUUAAUUUGUAGCAACUCCGAUCUCUUGGACCAUAAGGGUCCAAGAGAUUUGUGGUCACCCACCGUUGAAUGUUAAUCUAACAGUUCAAAAGUUUCUUAAAAGGAGUACAAAAGCGAGUGAACCGCUGAAUUUACAUCCAACGGUGAGUGACCAUAAAUUUCGUGGACUCCUGUAGUCCAAGAGAUCGAGACUGUAAUUUGUAGAGGAAAUAGGUAACAAAUUUCCUAAAACCCUUGCUAUAUAUUUCUGUCCUGAAAGAUUUAAGGAGCCUCAAAUUUGGAUAUUGCAACCACUUGAGACGUUAAUUAAUUAGACUUUAGAGAACGGUUAGGAUAUUGCAAUUUUUGGAUAUUAUAUAUUCUUUCUCUACUUUACCUUAAUGACUCAUAAUUACCCACUAGCACUGUAACACAGCUUCAAGUUGAAGCCAUGGCAGAGGCGUGGGAGGGGAGAAAGACUACGUAUUUUUAUAGUGUUAUCUCUGACUAAUAAUACUAUAGUAUUCGUGAUAAUACUUCGAUGUGGCAUAACAUUAUUGGCCGAAAAUAACAAAAUAAUACUAUCUCCAUUACAAUUACGUUUUUAUCCGUGGGCUGCUCUUAGGCUUAUCUAGUCUUUAAAAUGCAGUUGAAGAAUUUAUUAUUAUAAAAAUGACGUGAGAGAGAGGGAGGGGGUCAUAUAUUUUCAGAAUAAUUUUGCUAAAAAACGAAAGCAGAAGAAUUAAUUAUUAUGAAAAUGACGUGUAAUAAAACCACAGGUUGUGUGACAUUGCCGUACGGUACAUGCAGUCGGUGAGUCCACAGAUGACCAUGCAUUUGUUUUGAGUCGGAUUAAGCAGUGAAUGGGGGCACUAGUUGUCCAUCUUUAUAUGACCCAAUGACUUAAGAUAUCUAUAUGCAUAGAGACUUUUAAAAAGUAGAAGCAAUACAGCCUUAGAAAGGCAGUGCGUGCAUGGAAAAGGAUUAUCUGGUCCCGAUAUAAAUUUACGGUACCUAAUACAUUAGCGCUAAUUGAUAAUUUUUUGAUACUCUAAUGAUAAGAUUGACAAUUAGUGUCGAAUUGAGAAUAUAUCAGGUACGAUAAGUGUCGAAUUGAGAAUAUAUCAGGUAUGAUAAAUUGAUAUUAAAUAUUUAGUCGGUAGUUGGUAGGUACUUAGUAGCUAUUAAGUAAAUAUUAUAUGAGAUAUGAAGAUCAACAUGAAUUAUAUCUUUGUAAUUAAGUAGCUAUGCUUGUAUCUGGUCUCGAUUUGUAUAUCUAUUAUUAGGUAAAAUACUUUGAGAAAGCACAAAUAGUUUGUGGACAUGAGCGAUAGAUACUGUGGUUGGAUUAUCAACAAUGACAGUGUGAACGACUUUUCUUCAUGGUGUGCUUUAGCUACAUCUUCUACGCUUCUGCGUUGGUCACAUUCAUGUAAUCUUGAACAUGAAGCAACGUACCACAAAGGCUACCAAAACUUUAAUAACUGUGGACCAGAAGGAAGCAGUAUAUAGGUCCUACUACCUGUGCAUUUUUGCUGACUAAUAGUUUGAUGCUUAAGGUAAAUCCAAUACAAUUAGUGUAAAUGUCGUUUUACUAUAUAAUUAGGUAUAUCCAAUACAAAAUAAAUCUUUAAUCUUGAACAUAUUUAUAUAGGGGAUUCUAUGACUCACAAAGAAAACCUACGGAUACAUUUAUGUUUAUGUUUAAUCUCAUUUUCUCUUUUGUAAUUCCAUCUACUUUUCAUAAGAGUUUGUUUGAAACAACUUAUAUAUAAAAACUACGCUUGUUUUUAGAUGAUUAUUGUGGUAGGAUGUAAUCAACAAAAUAGACAAACACGGUAUUUCAAGAAAAGAAUAUAAUAAAAACUAUCUAAUUGAAUGAUCAAAUAGUUUCGGAUCCAAGUGAUUGUCGCAGAGAUGAUCUUUGAAGAAAUAUCUAAAAACUAGAUGGUAUUGGAUUAUUGAAAUGCAUGGUGAGUCUUAUAAGGGUGUCUUUCAAAUAAACUUAUUUGAGAAAUCCCUCAACUAAAGCCAUAUCAGUCUCCUUCUCACAAUAUUUAUAUACACACCACACCUUUUGUGAAAAUCUAAAAAUGCUAAAUUAGAAAUGAAAACUGACAGUUAAAGAACUCUCAUGAUCACUCUACAAGAUUGUGACCUGAAUGAUGAAUCAGCAGCUUAAGUUCACCCCAUUAAUAAAAUCUUUUGCCGUUCCCAUCCCGCCUCUAAUAAAAGCUUACUUAAUACGUAGUCCCAUCAACCCCUACCAUCAAAGUAGGGGUUGAAUUUGGUGCUCUUUAGCCUUUAAUCACCACAAGAGUCACAAAUUCUUCUCUCUCCUUAUCUUUCCAACCCCACUGAUAUCUCAGGCAGGUCUAUAAAUAGGAAGAACCAAGCCAUAUUAUACUCACUCAGCAAUCAUCUCUUGCAUACUUUCAUAUAUACAUUAUCGUGCUUCUUGUUAAGCAAAACAUGGCAUCCUCAAAGGCUUUUCUUCUUCUUGGUCUUGUCUUUGCUGUUCUCCUCAUCUCCUAUGAGGUCUUAGCUAUUCCAACUCGUGAGUUUCUCACUUUCUUAACUAAAUCAUAAAUAUUAAAUUAGUAAUUGUAUCUUUCUUUCCAGUAACGAUUUGUGAAUUUAUGCACAUUUUAAUUAAGGUGCACUGGUCGUGAAAAUAAUUAUGCUUCGAACUCUUUUUCUACAUGUAGGGUUAGUAGUUGUUGCACUUGCAUGGCUUAAUUUGCAUCUUAUUAAAUACAAACCGAUUUAUGAUUGUUAUAAGUUAUGUAUAUUGUUUUUGCUUUAUAUAUAAAGUUUUUGGUUGUUCUCUCAGAGUCAGAGGAGAGUACAGUCAACGGUGAUGCCCGCGGAUUUGGAGGUCAUGGCCGCGGAUUUGGAGGUCAUGGCCACGGACAUGGAGGUCAUGGCCACGGACAUGGUGGUCAUGGCCACGGACAUGGAGGUCAUGGGCACGGACAUGGAGGUCAUGGCCACGGACAUGAAGGGUAUGGCCACGGACAUGGUGGAUAUGGCCACGGCGGCCACGGCCACCACGGCCACCACGGCCACCAUGGCAUAGGGAGGCCUGGUGCUGCUGAGACUGAAAUCAAGAAUUAGAUAACCUGUUAGUUUCUGUGACUUACGUUGCAGGUGUGUUGUAAGGGUAGCAGUACGAAAUAAAGUUGUUUGGUUGAGUAAUCUAUAUGAACUCUCAAUCAUAAACUGUCCUAAGCUUGUUCUCAUGUUUCUCAUGUUCUCUGUAAUGUACGCAUUGUAAUGUACGCAUUGGAAUGUGUUCUCUUGUUAUGUGAUAAAAUGUGAUGUAACUUUCUCAAUACAUAUUAUGUCAAAAAUGUUUAGUGUGGCUUGGCUCCUUAAAAUUGAGGGGGAGCACAUCCUCAUAACAAAUGAGAUUUUGGCACUAGUUAAACUUCAAAAAAAUAAAAAUAAAAAGAGGUUAAAAGAAUUCAAAUGAAAAAAAAAAUUAAAGGAAUUUGCCAAGUGUCAAAACUCUAUUUCUUUUGAGGAGGAACUGCUCCUCAGUUUUGUGGAGCCAAACUUUUUCCUAAUAUUAAUGGAGUUCAUGUAGACUCAUUUGUUUUGGGUACCAAAUUUAAUGAAUUGUGUAUUCAUUGGUGGACCCAUAAGCAUACAGUUUUUAAUUUAGGUGAGAUACUCUCGGCAAUUUAAAUCAUGUCAAAAACAUGAUAUCAAAAAAAAUCAGCCGUCAUCGAGUUUGUAGAUAAAGAAAUAAUAUAUAUGAAUGAACGUAAGCUAUAGAGAAGAACAUUUUGUGGAAAACUAGAAAUUUGUAGGGAGAAAUAAGAGGAAGAAAGGGAGUAUAAUUUGCUCAAAUAAACUUGUAUUCCAUUCAUAUUUGGUGCCACUAUUUAUAGGGGUAGAGAGGCCUAAAUCAUUUACCACCAAUAAUUGAUAGGUGACAAAUAUAUAAUGAUGAGUAUUAUGAUAGGUUAAUAGUGGCCAGUAAUUGGGGAGGGUUCCCUCUCUCUCUCUGACUCCCUCACUUUGGAUUCUGUAUUGAUUGUUCCAUCCUUACAUCAUAAUCUCUUAUAUGUUGCCCAAAUUACUACAUCUUUGAAUUGCAUUGUAACCUUUUGGCCUACACAUUGUGUUUUUUAGGACAUUCUCAGCAGCAAGACGAUUGGUUGUGGUACUAGGACGGGCAAACUCUACUAUCUGGACUUGGCAUCUGACAGUGAAGCCAGCCUCAGUCAAGCUUACAAAAUUGGGGUUACGAGUGUUGAGAAGCAAACUUUCGGAGUAUGGUUAUGACAUCGCCGACUUGGACAUGCUUCAUUUGGAUAUUUACAGAAGCUAUUUUCUUCCUUAUUUUUCCAGUUAGAUAUCUCUAGUUUUACGUGUAACAUCUGUGAAAUAGCCAAGAGCCAUCGUGUUCCUUUCCCUUUAAGUUCACAUAAAAGUUUGGUUCCUUUUUCUCUUGUUCAUUAUGAUAUUUGGGGCCCGCUAAAAUUACCACUCUCGGGGGAGCUAGAUGGUUUGUCGCGUUUAUCGAUGAUUGCACACGUAUGACCUGGGUUUCCCUUCUUCAAACAAAAGGAGAAGUCAGUUUCAAGUUUCAACAGUUCUAUCACAUGGUGGAGACACAAUUUCAUACAAGAAUUCAAGUUCUUCGGUCUGACAAUGGCGGAGAAUUUUUCUACCAUAAUCUUACUCAAUUCUUACAAGAUCAUGGCAUCAUACAUCAACGCUCAUGCCCUUACACUCCCCAACAGAAUGGUGUGGCUGAACGAAAGAAUAAACACUUAUUGGAAGUGGUUCGUGCCUCUCUCUUUGGUGCCAAUAUGCCUCGGUCUUUCUGGGGAGAAGACGUCCUCUUUGUAGCAUACCUUAUCAAUCUGAUUCCCUCCAGUAUCCUUAAUUUCCAAACCCCCCCUUCAAACACUCUACCACCAUAUCCAAAUACCUUAUACCAAAAACCUAGAACUACGGAUUUUUGGUUGUGUGGUCUUUGUCUUCUUACAUGAUCACUAACACAACAAAUUGAAUCCCCGCGCCAAAAAGUGUGUUUUUAUUGGUUAUGCACCUCAUUAGAAAGGUUACCGGUGUUAUGAUUCUCCUAGUCAGAAGGUCUAUACUUCUAUGGCUGUUGUGUUCCGAGAACACGACAUAUAUUUUUCAGCCAUACAGGAGGAGCAUUGCGAUGCCAACACAUCUCAAAUUUCAAGACUUUUCCUUUCAGAAUUGUCACAUACUGAAAACGACCAGUUGCAGAAUGCAAGCGACCGGUCGCCGAAGACUCUGCCUGAAAACGACCGGUCGCCUAAGACUCUGCCUGAAAGCGACCGGUCGUCCCCCGGAAAUCCGAAUCUGCUUCAAAACGACCGGUUGUCUCUCUGUUGUCAAACUCAGGAGGAGAACAUUGAGGAGUUUUUGCCCGCUCAGGAGAAUUCUUUAACUCCAGUACCCCACCAAUCACCUGCUGAGGACGUCAUUCAGGUAACCUCUUUUCCUGAAACUAAUAACAUUAAUGAAAUAUCCUAUGAUGAUUUAAUUUCAGAAGGCACAUAGCCUACAUAUUAGAUUCCAAAAUGGAAGAACGGUGGAAAACCUUCAGUUCACUACGAAGCAGACCUUAAUGCAAAAUGGAAAUAUCCCAUCGACAAUUAUGUAUCCAUCAGUAGAUUAUCGGAAUCACGGGUACACUUUGUGAAGCAGUUGGAUGGCAUACCUGUUCCCAACAAUGUAACUGAAACACUAGAAGACUCAACAUGGAAAGAAGCCAUGAAUGAAGAAAUGCAAGCUCUUCAGAAGAAUGACACAUGGGAACUCGUGCCAUUACCUCAUGGAAAGAAGACUGUCGGAUGCAGGUGGAUUUAUACUGUGAAACUCAAAGUAGAUGGAUCCAUUAAAAGAUAUAAAGCUAGAUUGGUGGGGAAAUGCUACACACAAAGAUAUGGGAUAGACUACCAUUAGACUUUUACCCCAGUAGCCAAGAUUAAAACUAUCAGAGUUCUUCUAUCUUUAGCAGCAAAUCUCGAUUGGCCAUUACAUCAGUUUGUUGUAAAAAAUGCAUUCUUACAUGGAGACUUGGAAGAAGAAGUAUAUAUGGACUUGCCACAAGAAUGUAACUUAGCUCGUGACAAGGAGAAUCAAGUUUGCAAGCUCUGAAAGUCAUUGUAUGGGUUAAAGCAAUCCUCUAGGGCAUGGUUUGGCAGAUUCACUAAAUCUAUGAAGAAUUUUGAAUAUAUACAAAGUAAUGUAGAUCACACCUUGUUCUUGAAGCAUGAUGGAAGAAGACUUACUGCACUGAUUGUUUAUGUGGAUGACAUAGUCGUAACUGGAAACGACACAGAAGAGCAAUUGACACUGCAGAAAUAUUUGUCUCAGGAAUUUGAGAUGAAGAAUCUAGGUGAUCUGAAGUACUUUAUAGGAAUUGAAGUAGCUAGGUCCAAAACUAGUAUAUUUCUGUCUUAAAAGAAGUAUGUAUUAGAUCUGCUCACUGAAAUAGGAAUGCUUGGAUGCAAACCUGCUGAUACACCCAUCGAGAUGAAUCACAAGUUAUGUGAAGACAUGGAUCAAGAACCAACCAAUAAGGAACAGUACCAACACCUUGUUGGAAGGUUGAUAUAUUUAGCUCACACAAGACCAGAUAUUGCAUAUGCUGUGAGUAUGGUUAGUCAGUUUAUGCAUUCACCCAGUGUGUCCCAUAGGAAUGCAGUUGAUCGGAUCUUAAGAUACUUAAAGUCAGCACAUGGAAAAAGGGUUAACAUUCUAAAAAAAUAGAGAUCUCAAAGUUGUUGGAUAUACAAAUGCUGAUUGGGCUGGCUCCGUUACUGACAGACGCUCUACUUCAGGUUACUUCACUUGUGGGAGGUAACCUAGUCACUUGGCGGAGUGAAAAACAAAAUGUGGUUUCUCGAUCUAGUGCUGAAGUAGAGUAUUGAGGAAUGGCUCACGGAGUUUGUGAAUUACUAUGGAUCAGAAGACUAUUGACAGAAUUGGGGUUUAAGCCAGGAAAGCCAAUGGAGUUACAUUGUGAUAACAAGUCAGCCAUCGAUAUUGCCCAUAGUCCAAUUCAACAUGAUCGAACUAAACAUGUUGAGGUGGAUAGACAUUUUAUCAAAGAAAAACUUGAGAAGAAGAUCAUCCGCCUACCGUUGGUAAAAUUAGAAGAUUAGUUGGCAAAUAUCUUAACCAAAGCUGUUUGUGGAAGAGUAUUUUCUGACUCACGUACCAAGUUGGGCAUUGGUGACAUAUAUGCACCAACUUGAGGAGGAGUGUCGACUUGAGUCUCCUAAUUAAUCAAGGAGGUUUACUUCCUUGAUUAAUUAAGGGAUUUACUUUCCUAUUUUUUAUAUAGUUGAUAAAUCAUUGUAUAAUUAGAAGAUACUUGCCUAAUUCUUUACUGUAUCUAAUUCCUUGUAUAGCACCCUGUAAACUCUUAUAUAUACCUCAUUAUGGAGAAGAAUAAAGUUAACCUAAUACAUUCAAAUCAUAUUCAUAUUUUAGCAUUCUCCUCAUCUCCUCUGAGGUCUCAACUACUCCAACUCGUGAGUUUCUCACUUUAAAUUAGUAAUUGUAUCUUCCUUUCCAGUAACGAUUUGUAAAUUUAGGCACAUUUUAAUUAUAAGGUGCACUGGUCUUGAAAAUGAUUAUGCUUCGAACUCUUUUUCUACAUGAAGGGCUAGUGGUUGCACCUGCAUGGCUUAAUUUGCACCUUAUUAAAUACAAACCUAGCUAUGAUUGUUAUAAGUUAUGUAUAUUGUUUUUGCUCUAUAUAUAAAGUUUUUGUUUGUUCUCUUAGAGGAGAGUAUAGUGGUGGCGGAGCCACUUCUAGGCCAGGAGCGGCCCUGGUCCCUUUAUUUUUUUUGACUUCUCUCCUAUAUUAUAUAAUGUAAUAUAUACAACUUACUAAUAGACAACUUGUAAUUCAAAUUAAUGGCCCCUUUAAAAAUAAUUAGGCAUGACUAAUUUUGAAAAUUUUAGCUCUAACAUGUGUUUUGAACACUUAUAUGUAUUUGAUAUACUUGUGUUUUCUAUCUUGGCCCCCUCAAUCUUAAAUUUCUAGCUUCGCCCGGUGAUGAUUUUCUAGAUGACCAUGGUGACGGACGUGGAGGGUAUGGCCACAGACAUGGAGGGUAUGGCCAUGGCCACCACGGCAAAGGGGGGCCUUGUGCUGCUAAGACUGAAACCAAGAAUUAGAUAACCUGUUAGUUUCUGUGACUUACGUUGCAGGUGUGUUGUAAGGGUAGUAGUACAAAAUAAAGUUGUUUGGUUGAGUAAUCUGUAUGAACUCUCAAUCAUAGACUCGUCUUAAGCUUGUUCUCGUGUUCUCUGUAAUGUACGCAUUGGAAUGUGUUCUCUUGUUAUGUGAUAAAAUGUGA
This 16151-nucleotide long non-coding RNA is filed under the name Prunus persica (peach). RNAcentral describes it as "long non-coding RNA (PPER_LNC008568)". The record is from RNAcentral. Lineage: Eukaryota; Viridiplantae; Streptophyta; Magnoliopsida; Rosales; Rosaceae.